Molecule: ribosomal RNA, 471 nt
Filed under: uncultured bacterium
Lineage: Bacteria
Description: bacterial SSU rRNA
Rfam family: Bacterial small subunit ribosomal RNA
Source: RNAcentral
AUGAAGGCCUUCGGGUUGUAAAGCUCUUUUGGCGGGGACGAUGAUGACGGUACCCGCAGAAUAAGCCCCGGCUAACUUCGUGCCAGCAGCCGCGGUAAUACGAAGGGGGCAAGCGUUGUUCGGAAUUACUGGGCGUAAAGGGCGCGUAGGCGGCGCAGCAAGUCAGGGGUGAAAUCCCGGGGCUCAACCUCGGAACUGCCUCUGAAACUGCAGUGCUAGAAUCUUGGAGAGGCGAGUGGAAUUCCGAGUGUAGAGGUGAAAUUCGUAGAUAUUCGGAAGAACACCAGUGGCGAAGGCGACACACUGGCCCGUUACUGACGCUGAGGCGCGAAAGCGUGGGGAGCAAACAGGAUUAGAUACCCUGGUAGUCCACGCCGUAAACGAUGUCUACUAGCCGUUGGGGUCCUUGAGGCCUUAGUGGCGCAGCUAACGCACUAAGUAGACCGCCUGGGGAGUACGGUCGCAAGAUUA